Molecule: ribosomal RNA, 355 nt
Filed under: uncultured bacterium
Lineage: Bacteria
Description: partial 16S ribosomal RNA
Rfam family: Bacterial small subunit ribosomal RNA
Source: RNAcentral
CCUACGGGAGGCAGCAGUGGGGAAUAUUGCGCAAUGGGCGAAAGCCUGACGCAGCGACGCCGCGUGAGGGAUGAAGGUCUUCGGAUCGUAAACCUCUGUCAGCAGGGAAGAAAGGUCACUGUGCUAAUCAGCAGUGAAUUGACGGUACCUGCAAAGGAAGGACCGGCUAACUCCGUGCCAGCAGCCGCGGUAAUACGGAGGGUGCGAGCGUUAAUCGGAAUUACUGGGCGUAAAGCGCUCGUGGGCGGUAUGUCAAGGCAAGGGUGAAAUCCCCGCGCUCAACGUGGGAACUGCCUUUGAAACUGGUAAACUUGAGGGUGCGAGAGGUUAGUGGAAUGCGAGGUGUAGGAGUGAA